RNAcentral lists this unclassified non-coding RNA (242 nucleotides) under uncultured fungus. Its description in RNAcentral is "partial contains 5.8S ribosomal RNA, internal transcribed spacer 2, and large subunit ribosomal RNA". Lineage: Eukaryota; Fungi. The record is from RNAcentral.
AACGCACAUUGCGCCCUUUGGUAUUCCUCAGGGCAUGCCUAUUCGAGCGUCGUUUCAACCCUCAAGCUUUGCUUGGUCAUGAGGGCUGCCUCCGGCACCCUUGAAACGCAUCGGCGGCGGCACGUGGCCCAACGCAGCAGCAAUGCAGUCCGGCGCGUGCAGCCUGCCAGAAACUGCCUCUGGCCCGCCAUUGGCAUCUCUAGCUCGACCUCGAAUUAGGUAGGGAUACCCGCUGAACUUAA